AGUGAACGCUGGCGGUAGGCCUAACACAUGCAAGUCGAACGGCAGCACAGUAAGAGCUUGCUCUUACGGGUGGCGAGUGGCGGACGGGUGAGGAAUACAUCGGAAUCUACUUUUUCGUGGGGGAUAACGUAGGGAAACUUACGCUAAUACCGCAUACGACCUACGGGUGAAAGCAGGGGAUCUUCGGACCUUGCGCGAUUGAAUGAGCCGAUGUCGGAUUAGCUAGUUGGCGGGGUAAAGGCCCACCAAGGCGACGAUCCGUAGCUGGUCUGAGAGGAUGAUCAGCCACACUGGAACUGAGACACGGUCCAGACUCCUACGGGAGGCAGCAGUGGGGAAUAUUGGACAAUGGGCGCAAGCCUGAUCCAGCCAUACCGCGUGGGUGAAGAAGGCCUUCGGGUUGUAAAGCCCCUUUGUUGGGAAAGAAAAGCAGCAGGUUAAUACCCCGCUGUUCUGACGGUACCCAAAGAAUAGGCACCGGCUAACUUCGUG
Molecule: ribosomal RNA, 492 nt
Filed under: uncultured bacterium
Lineage: Bacteria
Description: partial 16S ribosomal RNA
Rfam family: Bacterial small subunit ribosomal RNA
Source: RNAcentral